CGGUGACCAAGAGGGGGCCCUCCCCCCUCCUCGGCGGGAGGGGGGGUGGUGAGCACGCCCCCGAGGACGCAGGUGUGAUUGCCUUCUUUACAGCACGGCACCGUGGAAGUGCAGACUUUCACAGGGGGUGUGGUCUCUGCUCACACAGGUACUCCAGAGGCUGGUGGACCUGAGCGGAGGCUGGGACGCCCUGGUGGGCCCCGGGCCCUGGAAGGCAGGUCCCGGUGGCUGGUGGCCCAGAAUGAGGCCAGCUCCCAGCAUGCCCUGCAGCCGGACACCAGCCACUCGGCCUGCAGCAACGGUGGUAAUAACCCAGUCAUUCUUCAGGCAUCCAGCAAGGAGCCUGGGAGUGGGACCAUGCAGAGCAGCCCCUCCCCUGCUCAUCCUCAGCUCCCAAUCC
RNAcentral lists this long non-coding RNA (400 nucleotides) under Rattus norvegicus (Norway rat). RNAcentral's name for it is "long non-coding RNA NONRATT001226". The record is from RNAcentral. Lineage: Eukaryota; Metazoa; Chordata; Mammalia; Rodentia; Muridae.